RNAcentral lists this ribosomal RNA (1131 nucleotides) under uncultured bacterium. Its description in RNAcentral is "bacterial SSU rRNA". It matches the Rfam family "Bacterial small subunit ribosomal RNA", at positions 221 to 1361 of the family's 1533-position model. The record is from RNAcentral.
CAGGAUGAGCCCGCGGCCUNAUCAGCUUGUUGGUGGGGUAAUGGCCUACCAAGGCGUCGACGGGUAGCCGGCCUGAGAGGGUGGACGGCCACAUUGGGACUGAGACACGGCCCAAANUCCUACGGGAGGCAGCAGUGGGGAAUAUUGCACAAUGGGCGCAAGCCUGAUGCAGCGACGCCGCGUGGGGGAUGACGGCCUUCGGGUUGUAAACUCCUUCCAACCAUGACGAAGCUUUUUGUGACGGUAGUGGUAGAAGAAGCACCGGCUAACUACGUGCCAGCAGCCGCGGUAAUACGUAGGGUGCGAGCGUUGUCCGGAAUUACUGGGCGUAAAGAGCUCGUAGGUGGUUUGUCGCGUCGUCUGUGAAAUUCCGGGGCUUAACUCCGGGCGUACAGGCGAUACGGGCAUAACUUGAGUACUGUAGGGGAGACUGGAAUUCCUGGUGUAGCGGUGAAAUGCGCAGAUAUCAGGAGGAACACCGAUGGCGAAGGCAGGUCUCUGGGCAGUUACUGACGCUGAGGAGCGAAAGCAUGGGUAGCGAACAGGAUUAGAUACCCUGGUAGUCCAUGCCGUAAACGGUGGGCGCUAGGUGUGGGGGUCUUCCACGACUUCCGUGCCGUAGCUAACGCAUUAAGCGCCCCGCCUGGGGAGUACGGCCGCAAGGCUAAAACUCAAAGGAAUUGACGGGGGCCCGCACAAGCGGCGGAGCAUGUGGAUUAAUUCGAUGCAACGCGAAGAACCUUACCUGGGCUUGACAUAUGCAGGAUCGGCACAGAGAUGUGUUUUCCCUUGUGGUCUGUAUACAGGUGGUGCAUGGUUGUCGUCAGUUCGUGUCGUGAGAUGUUGGGUUAAGUCCCGCAACGAGCGCAACCCUUGUCUUGUGUUGCCAGCACGUUAUGGUGGGGACUCGCGAGAGACUGCCGGGGUUAACUCGGAGGAAGGUGGGGAUGACGUCAAAUCAUCAUGCCCCUUAUGUCCAGGGCUUCACACAUGCUACAAUGGUCGGUACAGUGGGUUGCUACACCGUGAGGUGGUGCUAAUCCCUUUAAAGCCGGUCUCAGUUCGGAUUGGAGUCUGCAACUCGACUCCAUGAAGUCGGAGUCGCUAGUAAUCGCAGAUCAGCAACGCGCG